GUCUUUUUGAGUUUAAUUUAAAGUCUAAUCUGCCCACUGAUAAUAAUUUAAGGGCCGCAGUAUUCUGACUGUGCAAAGGUAGCAUAAUCAUUAGUCUUUUAAUUGAGGGGCUUGUAUGAAUGAUUGGACGAGAUAUAAUCUGUCUCAUAAAAAUUUUUAUAGAAUUUUAUUUUUUAGUUAAAAAGCUAAAAUUUAUUUAAAAGACGAGAAGACCCUAUAGAUCUUUAUAUUUUAAUUAUUAUUUUUUUAUAGUUAUUUUUUAAAAUUAUAAUUUAAAUUAUUUUGUUGGGGUGACAAUGAAAUUUAAUUAACUUUCAUUAUUUUAUAAACAUUAAUUUAUGAAUAAUUGAUCCAUUAUUAUUGAUUAAAAAUUUAAGUUACCUUAGGGAUAACAGCGUAAUUAUUUUGGAGAGUUCUUAUCGAUAAAAUAGUUUGCGACCUCGAUGUUGGAUUAAGAUUAAUCUUGGGUGUAGCAGCUCAAUAAAUUAAGUCUGUUCGACUUUUAAUUUCUU
Molecule: ribosomal RNA, 512 nt
Filed under: Tachytrechus sp. Pollet 0299
Lineage: Eukaryota; Metazoa; Arthropoda; Insecta; Diptera; Dolichopodidae
Description: partial 16S ribosomal RNA
Rfam family: Bacterial large subunit ribosomal RNA (bases 388-512)
Source: RNAcentral